AACGGGUGAGUAAUGCAUCGGAACGUGCCAUUGAGUGGGGGAUAACGUAGCGAAAGUUACGCUAAUACCGCAUAUUCNGUGAGCAGGAAAGCAGGGGACCGCAAGGCCUUGCGCUCUUUGAGCGGCCGAUGUCAGAUUAGCUAGUUGGUGAGGUAAAGGCUUACCAAGGCGACGAUCUGUAGCGGGUCUGAGAGGAUGAUCCGCCACACUGGAACUGAGACACGGUCCAGACUCCUACGGGAGGCAGCAGUGGGGAAUUUUGGACAAUGGGCGCAAGCCUGAUCCAGCCAUGCCGCGUGAGUGAAGAAGGCCUUCGGGUUGUAAAGCUCUUUCGGCCGGGAAGAAAUCGCAUGGGUUAAUACCCUGUGUGGAUGACGGUACCGGAAUAAGAAGCACCGGCUAACUACGUG
This 410-nucleotide ribosomal RNA is filed under the name uncultured bacterium. RNAcentral's name for it is "bacterial SSU rRNA". It matches the Rfam family "Bacterial small subunit ribosomal RNA", at positions 101 to 507 of the family's 1533-position model. The record is from RNAcentral.